UACGUAGGGUGCGAGCGUUGUCCGGAAUUAUUGGGCGUAAAGAGCUCGUCGGCGGUUUGUCGCGUCGACUGUGAAAACCCGAGGCUUAACCUCGGGCCUGCAGUCGAUACGGGCAGACUAGAGUUCGGUAGGGGAGACUGGAAUUCCUGGUGUAGCGGUGAAAUGCGCAGAUAUCAGGAGGAACACCGGUGGCGAAGGCGGAUCUCUGGGCCGAUACUGACGCUGAGGAGCGAAAGCGUGGGGAGCGAACAGG
This 253-nucleotide ribosomal RNA is filed under the name uncultured bacterium. RNAcentral describes it as "partial 16S ribosomal RNA". It matches the Rfam family "Bacterial small subunit ribosomal RNA", at positions 524 to 776 of the family's 1533-position model. The record is from RNAcentral.